UACGUAGGGUGCGAGCGUUGUCCGGAAUUAUUGGGCGUAAAGAGCUCGUAGGCGGUCUGUCGCGUCGGUCGUGAAAACUUGGGGCUUAACCCUGAGCUUGCGGUCGAUACGGGCAUGACUGGAGUUCGGCAGGGGAGACUGGAAUUCCUGGUGUAGCGGUGAAAUGCGUAGAUAUCUGGAGGAACACCGGUGGCGAAGGCGGGUCUCUGGGCCGAUAUUGACGCUGAGGAGCGAAAGCGUGGGGAGCGAACAGG
RNAcentral lists this ribosomal RNA (254 nucleotides) under uncultured bacterium. Its description in RNAcentral is "partial 16S ribosomal RNA". It matches the Rfam family "Bacterial small subunit ribosomal RNA", at positions 524 to 776 of the family's 1533-position model. The record is from RNAcentral.